UCCACGCCUCACGCCGCCGCUCUGCAGUCCACCGACACCGCCGCCGCCGCCGCUCUCCUCUAAACUCUGCCGGCGCUUAUCUCCGCUAACGUCGCCGCCGCCGCUGCCGCUGCUCUGCUCUGAACGCUGUUGCUCCGCACUCAACCGCCACCGCCGCUGCUCUGCUUUGAACUUCGCCGUUUCUUUCCACAGAGAGAUACAUCACAUGCUUUUACUGUCCUAGAAGAGCUUAUCAAGGUCUACACUUUAGCAUUGUUGCUAAAGAAAAAAGAAUAAGCUAAAGAUAAGUUAAGAGAAGCGUUAUUACAAAGGAGCAUUUUAGGGUGUGGAUGGUGGUUAGGCUUAGGCUUGGGAUGGAGCCUUGUUGGCUUCACCGACCCAACUUGAUGUGAGGUGAGGUGAUUUUGUGCUUUGAUUGUGAAAGCUAGUUAGUUAAGAGUUUGUAGUACAGUAAGAAUUAUGGAGGGACAAGUGAGCAAGUGGACCGCAAACUUGAAGAGAUGGAAGAAAAAUUCAAUGAUGAGUGCGAGAAGAGAAUGAAAUUAGAGGAAGAUAUGACGAUUCUAAAUGAGAGGAUGGACCAGUUCAUGUCCCAUAGUCGGCUAUAACUCCCAUUGUUCAGUCUCGUAGUCAUGAUUCUGAAGAAUUAUGAGUUUGGCCACUAUUUUGUAAUUCACUAUCACCUUUAUUUCAAAGUCAUGACAAUAUCGAACUUCAUGUAAUUUGCAAAAUACUUUUUAAUAUAUCUACUAGUAUUAGUUUUUGCUACAAA
Long non-coding RNA from Salvia splendens (bonfire salvia), 772 nucleotides. RefSeq lists it as uncharacterized. The transcript has 4 exons. The record is from RefSeq and is a predicted model, not a curated record. Lineage: Eukaryota; Viridiplantae; Streptophyta; Magnoliopsida; Lamiales; Lamiaceae.